CCUACGGGAGGCAGCAGUGAGGAAUAUUGGUCAAUGGUCGGGAGACUGAACCAGCCAAGCCGCGUGAGGGAGGAAGGUACAGAGUAUCGUAAACCUCUUUUGUCAGGGAACAAAGACUGGGACGCGUCCCCGGAUGAGUGUACCUGAAGAAAAAGCAUCGGCUAACUCCGUGCCAGCAGCCGCGGUAAUACGGAGGAUGCGAGCGUUAUCCGGAUUUAUUGGGUUUAAAGGGUGCGCAGGCGUGUUGUUAAGUCAGCGGUAAACCACCGGGGCCAAACCCCGACCCGCCGUUGAAACUGGCAGUCUCGAGUUGGAGAGAAGUAGGCGGAAUGCGCGGUGUAGCGGUGAAAUGCAUAGAUAGCGCGCAGAACUCCGAUUGCGAAGGCAGCAUGCCGGCUCCACACUGACGCUGAGGCACGAAAGCGUGGGUAUCGAACAGGAUUAGAUACCCCUGUAGUC
This 459-nucleotide ribosomal RNA is filed under the name uncultured bacterium. Its description in RNAcentral is "partial 16S ribosomal RNA". It matches the Rfam family "Bacterial small subunit ribosomal RNA", at positions 338 to 795 of the family's 1533-position model. The record is from RNAcentral.